UUUGAUCCCAAUCCUGUUACAGCUGCGUGUUCCUGGCAGAUCAACUUCCGCUGAGCCCCAGUGAAAUCCCAUAAUAUAAUGACAGCAGGGGCCAGCGCUUAGUAGGGCUGACCUUUUUUUUUUCUUUCUUUCUUUCCAUGUCCCACCUCUAGCAGGAUCCCUGCUUGACUCCUUGGAGGGAGGCCAUCAUGAAGAGAUUUAUACAUUAAACUUGAAAUGGGCACUGUCAGGUACCAGCCUCCAGAGCCUUGUAAAGACCUCAACCUAGAGACAUGGCCCAGAAAUAUUUGGGGUCUGCCUGGGCCUUACCGUCUGCCCUGCACUGUUCCCCGCAACUGAAGGUGUAUACUCCUUCACUUCUUGGCAAGUGAACGGCUUGAGCCUCCCCAGGUAUGUCCCAGUGUUCUAUGCUGCAGAGCCCCUCUGUACUGGCUGUAGAUACCCUUAGUCUGGAAUCACCUCCCCUCCCCCUUCCAAAUGUACUCAGACCCAAACUUUGGGGAAGGCUUCCUUCUCAGACUGCCCAUUGGCCUCUUGAACCAUUAUGAAGGUCUCCCAGCAGCAGUGGUGUACACCUGUUCCCAUGGAGUACACCUGGGUUGUGGCUUCCAUCUUCACUUUCCAGGAGCAGACACAAGGCAGGACUGAAGGGACCUGAACACCCUUCCUGUGAUAAGAAAUGAAGGGCCAGGUGCAGUAACAGACCCCUAUAAUUCUAGCAGCUUUGGAGGCUGAGGCAGGAGGAUCUUUAGUUCAAAGCCAGCCUCAGAAACUGCUAAGUGCUAAGCAACUCAGUGAGACCUUGUCUCUAAAUAAAAUACAAAAUAGGGCUGGGGAGGUGGCUCAAUGGUUGAGUGCCCCCAAGUUCGAUCCCUGGUACCAAAAAAAAAAAAAAAGAAAAAGAAAAAUGAAAUGAGGAUAGGGCACAGUGGCCCAAGCAGGGGUCCUGGAGUCAGAAUCCCCUGAGAAAGUACACUCUGGGCCCUUUGGCCUAGGACCCUGGGGAGCAGUGCUGGCUAAGGUAUGUGAGCAUUUUGACCACAGGUAUAACAUUUAAAUGUAUUUGUAGGUGGAGGGAUAGGCCCAAAGAUAGUGCAGGGCCUCAGCCACUGAGCUGGUGAGUGAUGUGGACUGAUGUUGGCUGAGUUCCUGGUCCUCAGUUCUUAUCACUCUCAGUCAGGCCUCAUGUUUGCCAGCUGAUUACAGCAACGAACUGGCAGAGGGCUUUAUUUGGGGGCCCAUCUAGCAUCUGGAACACAGGUUUCUGACCUCUGUCUUCUCCUUAGGCAGUGAGUCUACACUAAGUUGCAGAUCAUAACAGGACUGACCUUGUAUAGAGUUCAUGGAGGAGACAGGCUGGCCUGAACCACUAUUCUGGAGGACUGUGGAGAACCCAGAGGAGUGAUAUCAUGGAGGGUUUCCUCAGCCUUCUGGGGAGUGGCCGUGGGGGUGGAAAGCAGCAGAGUGGGAAGUCUCACCUGAUGGUUUUGCUGAGGGCUGCUUAUGGGAGAGCCCUUCUCCUUGGCCGCUGGCCUCUUCUAUAUCCAGGACACACUUCAGGACACACUUGGGCACCAUGGAAAUAUCUACCCAGCCAGCAAUACUUACUCAGCCAACCACACUGCUUUGUGAUCUAGCAGUUCUACUCUUGAUACAUACCUGGGUGAAGUGGGAGUCAUUAGUCACCAAAAGACAUGUGAAAUGUUCUCAGUAGCUUUAUUCUUAAUUGUUUCAAGCUGGAAACUAUCCAAAUACUUGUCAGUUAUGAAAUGAAUAAAUACAUGUGUAUUCUUGUUUGGUAGAAUACUAUAUGACAAUGAAAUAAAACUACUGAUAUACAUAUGGAUAACCUCACAGACAUAAUGUUGAGUGAAAAAAAAAAAACUAGUCACAAAAAUGUAGACACAAGCAAGGUGCCACAUGCUGCAUGCCUGUAAUCCCAGCAGCUUGGAAGGCUGACGCAGGAGGAUCACAAGUUUGAGGCCAGUCUUAGCAAUUUAGCAAGGCCCUAAGCAACUUAAC
Molecule: long non-coding RNA, 2022 nt
Filed under: Marmota monax (woodchuck)
Lineage: Eukaryota; Metazoa; Chordata; Mammalia; Rodentia; Sciuridae
Source: RNAcentral